UACAGAGGUCCCGAGCGUUGUUCGGAUUCAUUGGGCGUAAAGGGUGCGUAGGCGGCGGGGCAAGUCUGAUGUGAAAUCCCGGGGCUCAACCCCGGAACUGCAUUGGAUACUGCCUUGCUUGAGUACUGGAGAGGAGACUGGAAUUUACGGUGUAGCAGUGAAAUGCGUAGAUAUCGUAAGGAAGGCCAGUGGCGAAGGCGAGUCUCUGGACGACAUCUGACACUGAGGCACGAAAGCUAGGGGAGCAAACAGG
This 253-nucleotide ribosomal RNA is filed under the name uncultured bacterium. RNAcentral's name for it is "partial 16S ribosomal RNA". It matches the Rfam family "Bacterial small subunit ribosomal RNA", at positions 524 to 776 of the family's 1533-position model. The record is from RNAcentral.